GGGCAAGUACCGAAGUGGUUACCGGGGUGGCCUCAAGAUAAUCUUCUCUCGGAAUGAGAGAUAUCCACUGCAUUUAUGCGCGUCAGUUCGAAUCUGGCCUUGCCCA
This 106-nucleotide transfer RNA is filed under the name Tremella mesenterica. RNAcentral describes it as "tRNA-Leu". It matches the Rfam family "tRNA". Rfam says of the family: Transfer RNA (tRNA) molecules are approximately 80 nucleotides in length. Their secondary structure includes four short double-helical elements and three loops (D, anti-codon, and T loops). Lineage: Eukaryota; Fungi; Basidiomycota; Tremellomycetes; Tremellales; Tremellaceae. The record is from RNAcentral.